AGCUUUGCGCAGUGGCAUUACCAUAGCCAAUGAGGUUUAACCGAGGCGUGGUGAUUGCUAAUUGAAAACUUUUCCCCAAUAUCCCGCAUGACGGCGUGAAACAUCGCCGGCGUUGCAAUAUUUGGAGGUUCCCACUGGGA
Hydractinia symbiolongicarpus is the source of this 140-nucleotide small nuclear RNA. RefSeq annotates it as U4 spliceosomal RNA. Lineage: Eukaryota; Metazoa; Cnidaria; Hydrozoa; Anthoathecata; Hydractiniidae. The record is from RefSeq and is a predicted model, not a curated record. The transcript has a single exon.